AUUUAUAUAGUUUAUUAAAACAUUAUAUUUUCAUUAUAAAAAUAGAUUUUAUCUUAUAAAUU
Molecule: transfer RNA, 62 nt
Filed under: Curculionoidea sp. 10 KM-2017
Lineage: Eukaryota; Metazoa; Arthropoda; Insecta; Coleoptera
Description: tRNA-Glu
Source: RNAcentral